UACGAAGGGUCCAAGCGUUAUCCGGAUUUAUUGGGUUUAAAGGGUGCGUAGGCGGCUUAUUAAGUCAGUGGUGAAAGCCUGUAGCUCAACUACAGAACUGCCAUUGAUACUGAUGAGCUUGAAUAUACUUGAGGUUGGCGGAAAUGUGUCAUGUAGCGGUGAAAAUGCUUAGAUAUGACACAGAACACCGAUUGCGAAGGCAGCUAGCUAAAGUACAAUUGACGCUGAUGCACGAAAGCGUGGGGAGCAAACAGG
Molecule: ribosomal RNA, 255 nt
Filed under: uncultured bacterium
Lineage: Bacteria
Description: partial 16S ribosomal RNA
Rfam family: Bacterial small subunit ribosomal RNA
Source: RNAcentral